GUAAAAGUAGUUUAAGAAGAAUGAAAAUUUGUCAUAUUUUUGGUGCUAGUGGGUCUUUUAUU
RNAcentral lists this transfer RNA (62 nucleotides) under Phreagena okutanii. RNAcentral's name for it is "tRNA-Asp". The record is from RNAcentral. Lineage: Eukaryota; Metazoa; Mollusca; Bivalvia; Venerida; Vesicomyidae.